UACGUAGGACCCAAGCGUUAUUCGGAUUGAUUGGGCGUAAAGAGUUGCGUAGGUGGUUUGUUAAGCGAAUAGUGAAAUCUUGUGGCUCAACCAUAAGGCUAUUAUUCGAACUGGCAAACUCGAGAGUGGAAGAGGUAUCUGGAAUUUCUAAUGUAGGGGUAAUAUCCGUAGAUAUUAGAAGGAACACCAAUGGCGUAGGCAGGAUACUGGUCCAUUUCUGACACUAAGGCACGAAAGCGUGGGGAGCGAACCGG
This 254-nucleotide ribosomal RNA is filed under the name uncultured bacterium. Its description in RNAcentral is "partial 16S ribosomal RNA". It matches the Rfam family "Bacterial small subunit ribosomal RNA", at positions 524 to 776 of the family's 1533-position model. The record is from RNAcentral.